Long non-coding RNA from Daphnia pulicaria, 151 nucleotides. RefSeq lists it as uncharacterized. The record is from RefSeq and is a predicted model, not a curated record. NCBI's taxonomy places the organism in Eukaryota, Metazoa, Arthropoda, Branchiopoda, Diplostraca, Daphniidae. The transcript has 3 exons.
AUUGAUCCAAACCUAAACAAACAUAUUCAACUAGGCCAUCAAUCUAUAUUACCGCUUACAUAAUUUACUACGACCCAUCCAACAAUCAUCCGAAAACAAUACUGCAUUGACAGUAUGCAUCACUUUGCUAUCGACAAAGGGCACCAACAGU